Molecule: unclassified non-coding RNA, 171 nt
Organism: Chelonoidis abingdonii (Abingdon island giant tortoise)
Lineage: Eukaryota; Metazoa; Chordata; Testudines; Testudinidae
Source: Ensembl
UUAACAGUCCUAGAGAUUGCCAUUUGCUCUAGUCACAGAACAGAUACAGCACAGCCAGCAGCAAUGCAAGCUCCCCCACAUUGCUCUGCCAAUGAAUCUCAAUCUGGAAGGGGUUAUGUUAAAGGCAAGAUGACAGAUCAGUCUCCAUGCCCCAUUCAAUCUUUGACCCCU